GUUCCUGGCUCAGGAUGAACGCUAGCUACAGGCUUAACACAUGCAAGUCGAGGGGCAGCAUGGUCUUAGCUUGCUAAGGCCGAUGGCGACCGGCGCACGGGUGAGUAACGCGUAUCCAACCUGCCUUACACUCUUGGACAGCCUUCUGAAAGGGAGAUUAAUACAAGAUGUUAUCAUGAGUAAGCAUUUUCGCAUGAUUAAAGGUUUACCGGUGUAAGAUGGGGAUGCGUUCCAUUAG
This 238-nucleotide ribosomal RNA is filed under the name uncultured bacterium. RNAcentral's name for it is "partial 16S ribosomal RNA". It matches the Rfam family "Bacterial small subunit ribosomal RNA", at positions 15 to 244 of the family's 1533-position model. The record is from RNAcentral.